This is an unclassified non-coding RNA of Pongo abelii (Sumatran orangutan), 148 nucleotides long. It matches the Rfam family "Metazoan signal recognition particle RNA". Rfam says of the family: The signal recognition particle (SRP) is a universally conserved ribonucleoprotein. The record is from Ensembl. Lineage: Eukaryota; Metazoa; Chordata; Mammalia; Primates; Hominidae.
GCCGGGCAUGGUGGCGCAUGCCUGUAAUCCCAGCUACUCAGGAGGCUGAGGCAGGAGAAUCUCUUGAACCCAGGAGAAAGAUGUUGCAGUGAGCCGAGAUUGCGCCACUGCACUCCAGCCUGGGUGACAGAGCGAGACUCCGUCUCAA